GUGGGGAAUAUUGCACAAUGGGGGAAACCCUGAUGCAGCCAUGCCGCGUGUAUGAAGAAGGCCUUCGGGUUGUAAAGUACUUUCAGUCAGGAGGAAGGGCGAGUGGUUAAUAACCGCACGCAUUGACGUUACUGACAGAAGAAGCACCGGCUAACUCCGUGCCAGCAGCCGCGGUAAUACGGAGGGUGCAAGCGUUAAUCGGAAUUACUGGGCGUAAAGCGCACGCAGGCGGUCUGUUAAGUCAGAUGUGAAAUCCCCGGGCUCAACCCGGGAACUGCAUUUGAAACUGGCAGGCUUGAGUCUCGUAGAGGGGGGUGGAAUUCCAGGUGUAGCGGUGAAAUGCGUAGAGAUCUGGAGGAAUACCGGUGGCGAAGGCGGCCCCCUGGACGAAGACUGACGCUCAGGUGCGAAAGCGUGGGGAGCAAACAGGAUUAGAUACCCGUGUAGUCC
This 450-nucleotide ribosomal RNA is filed under the name uncultured bacterium. RNAcentral's name for it is "bacterial SSU rRNA". It matches the Rfam family "Bacterial small subunit ribosomal RNA", at positions 354 to 796 of the family's 1533-position model. The record is from RNAcentral.